GCGCCCGUAGUUUAGCUGGUAAAAAUGAUCCCCUGUCACGGGAUAGACCGUGGGUUCGAAUCCCAUCGGGCGCG
This 74-nucleotide transfer RNA is filed under the name Candidatus Tayloriibacteriota bacterium. Its description in RNAcentral is "tRNA-Asp". It matches the Rfam family "tRNA". Rfam says of the family: Transfer RNA (tRNA) molecules are approximately 80 nucleotides in length. Their secondary structure includes four short double-helical elements and three loops (D, anti-codon, and T loops). The record is from RNAcentral. Lineage: Bacteria; Candidatus Tayloriibacteriota.